AUCUAGUUGAUGAGUCCGAAAUAGGAUGAAACGCGCAUCUUAGAU
Non-coding RNA from Schistosoma haematobium, 45 nucleotides. Lineage: Eukaryota; Metazoa; Platyhelminthes; Trematoda; Strigeidida; Schistosomatidae. The record is from Rfam.